RNAcentral lists this ribosomal RNA (691 nucleotides) under Salmonella enterica subsp. enterica serovar Typhimurium. RNAcentral's name for it is "partial 23S ribosomal RNA". It matches the Rfam family "Bacterial large subunit ribosomal RNA", at positions 1 to 734 of the family's 2925-position model. Lineage: Bacteria; Pseudomonadati; Pseudomonadota; Gammaproteobacteria; Enterobacterales; Enterobacteriaceae. The record is from RNAcentral.
GGUUAAGCGACUAAGCGUACACGGUGGAUGCCCUGGCAGUCAGAGGCGAUGAAGGACGUGCUAAUCUGCGAUAAGCGCCGGUAAGGUGAUAUGAACCGUUAUAACCGGCGAUUUCCGAAUGGGGAAACCCAGUGUGAUUCGUCACACUAUCAUUAACUGAAUCCAUAGGUUAAUGAGGCGAACCGGGGGAACUGAAACAUCUAAGUACCCCGAGGAAAAGAAAUCAACCGAGAUUCCCCCAGUAGCGGCGAGCGAACGGGGAGGAGCCCAGAGCCUGAAUCAGCAUGUGUGUUAGUGGAAGCGUCUGGAAAGGCGCGCGAUACAGGGUGACAGCCCCGUACACAAAAGCGCAUGUGCUGUGAGCUCGAUGAGUAGGGCGGGACACGUGGUAUCCUGUCUGAAUAUGGGGGGACCAUCCUCCAAGGCUAAAUACUCCUGACUGACCGAUAGUGAACCAGUACCGUGAGGGAAAGGCGAAAAGAACCCCGGCGAGGGGAGUGAAAAAGAACCUGAAACCGUGUACGUACAAGCAGUGGGAGCACCCUUCGGGGUGUGACUGCGUACCUUUUGUAUAAUGGGUCAGCGACUUAUAUUCUGUAGCAAGGUUAACCGUAUAGGGGAGCCGGAGGGAAACCGAGUCUUAACCGGGCGUUAAGUUGCAGGGUAUAGACCCGAAACCCGGUGAUCUAGC